This 253-nucleotide ribosomal RNA is filed under the name uncultured bacterium. RNAcentral describes it as "partial 16S ribosomal RNA". It matches the Rfam family "Bacterial small subunit ribosomal RNA", at positions 524 to 776 of the family's 1533-position model. The record is from RNAcentral.
UACAGAGGGUGCGAGCGUUAAUCGGAAUUACUGGGCGUAAAGUGUGCGUAGACGGUUAUUUAAGUCGGGUGUGAAAGCCCCGGGCUCAACCUGGGAAUUGCAUUCGAGACUGAAUAGCUAGGGUACGGUAGAGGGAAGCGGAAUUUCCGGUGUAGCGGUGAAAUGCGUAGAUAUCGGAAGGAACAUCAGUGGCGAAAGCGGCUUCCUGGACCAGUACCGACGUUCAGGCACGAAAGCGUGGGGAGCAAACAGG